RNAcentral lists this ribosomal RNA (467 nucleotides) under uncultured bacterium. RNAcentral's name for it is "partial 16S ribosomal RNA". It matches the Rfam family "Bacterial small subunit ribosomal RNA", at positions 28 to 507 of the family's 1533-position model. The record is from RNAcentral.
GACGAACGCUGGCGGCGUGCUUAACACAUGCAAGUCGAACGGAAAGGCCCUGCUUUUGUGGGUUGCUCGAGUGGCGAACGGGUGAGUAACACGUGAGUAACCUGCCCUUGACUUUGGGAUAACUUCAGGAAACUGGGGCUAAUACCGGAUAGGAGCUCCUGCUGCAUGGUGGGGGUUGGAAAGUUUCGGCGGUUGGGGAUGGACUCGCGGCUUAUCAGCUUGUUGGUGGGGUAGUGGCUUACCAAGGCUUUGACGGGUAGCCGGCCUGAGAGGGUGACCGGCCACAUUGGGACUGAGAUACGGCCCAGACUCCUACGGGAGGCAGCAGUGGGGAAUAUUGCACAAUGGGCGGAAGCCUGAUGCAGCAACGCCGCGUGCGGGAUGACGGCCUCGGGUUGUAAACCGCUUUCGCCUGUGACGAAGCGUGAGUGACGGUAAUGGGUAAAGAAGCACCGGCUAACUACGUG